AAACUGAAGAGUUUGAUCCUGGCUCAGAUUGAACGCUGGCGGCAUGCCUAACACAUGCAAGUCGAACGGAAACGAUGGAAGCUUGCUUCCAGGCGUCGAGUGGCGGA
Molecule: ribosomal RNA, 107 nt
Filed under: Woeseiaceae bacterium
Lineage: Bacteria; Pseudomonadati; Pseudomonadota; Gammaproteobacteria; Woeseiales; Woeseiaceae
Description: partial 16S ribosomal RNA
Rfam family: Bacterial small subunit ribosomal RNA
Source: RNAcentral